Molecule: long non-coding RNA, 1823 nt
Filed under: Marmota monax (woodchuck)
Lineage: Eukaryota; Metazoa; Chordata; Mammalia; Rodentia; Sciuridae
Source: RNAcentral
GAGGAUUAAUCACCUGCACUGACCCAGCUGAUAGUUGGCCAGAUUCCAGAAGCAGGGCUCUGAGAUGACACAUGUGUGAGCUGAAACAAGAUCACAAGACAAAUAACAAGACAAAUAACACCACCACACUAUUAAUAGAAAUACUGUCUGGACUGCAAUUGCCCCAGAGUAUAUACUUUAGCUGGGUGACCACAGAAGAGAGGAAAUGCAAGUACAUCUCUCAGCUGACUGAUUCAAACCUUCAAAGAAAGGAGUUUCCUCAAGCUGUAGUAGGUUGUGAAUAACUAUAAUACACAUUUGUAUGAGAAUUAUUCUCUACUGGCAAAUGAGAAUACUAAAGGUCUGAGUGCUUACACAGCAAUGCAGUAGGGGAACAGUGUCUUAAAAUGAGGACAUUGGAUUUUACACCCCUUCUCAUCACCAUCAUGUCCUGAUGUGCCAUUUCUUCAUAGCUGAUCAGUAUUCACCCAGAGCUUUCAGUUUGGAACACAACAAUCAGUUGACUGGAGAUGGCAGGGAACUAGGGAACUCAGGUUCGUAAUUACUGAUGCUGGUGUGGAGUUCUAGAAUGACUAAUGGUGGGACACAUAGGAGGAACUGUAAGAGCCAUUAAUGUCAAGUAAUAGUGGAAUCAGAUGGAUUAGAACAUGUGGGAGGGCCCAGGGUGUUGGUCAGUGUAGAUCACUUCUCUAACAUUCAUAAAGCCUUAGGUUUGAUUUAUUACACCAAAAGUAAGAAGAAAAGCAGACAUCCAAAAAGACACAAAGACAUAGUCUUGGUUUUCCAACAUCUUUACUUUCACUUACUAGAAAGAACUAUUUGCUAUACAUACUCUUUGAAAGUGUGCAUAACCAAGUCAUAACUUUAAAUCAUUUUUAUCUCUAGUAACUGUUCUACAAAUAUUCAGUUUUCAAUAAACAUUUCUUAGGAAAUUUUUUGAAAGCAUGGUUUCUUUAUUGAUUCUUGAACUGUAGAUGCCAGCAUUAUAAUGUAUAAACCUUAAUCAAAGCACACUGAUAUUUAAUCCACAAAGCAAUUAUGGGAGAUGAAAUAUCUCUUGCUAAACUUUUCUCAUCACCCAAAUAUUCCUUUUUAACUGGGUUCUCCUCAAUUUUUAAUAAUAAUUUCAUUUGUAUUAAGGAGCCUACUAAUUUCAUGUUUAGACUUAAUGUUUGAACCUCCAACAAAGAACUGAUAUUUCUGGUUGAAUUUCAGUUCCAUGACUCCAUGGCAGAAUAAUUUUUGGUUACUACAAAUGAAGUUGAUAGGUAGCUGUGGUAUACAUAUAGCAGGCAAAGUCAUCUAGUAUAUAUUGUGGAUGCCACACAAAGGGCUAUGAUAUAAACUCUACAUGAUUUUAUACCCAAAAUUUACCUAAAACCUUAGCCUUUUUAACAAAGACCCAUACAAGUUUGUUCAAAAGGCAUUGGAAAUUUAGUGCACCCCAAACCCACAAUCAGUGGAGAAAUGAGUAUUAUGAAUAGGUUGCUUACCUUUGGCCAAUGGGCCAGUCUGGCUUAGACAUGUAUUCAUGUUCUCUGAAAACUCUUUUAAAAUUGUGCAAUGUGCCUGGCAUGGUGGCACAUGCCUAUAAUCCCAGUGGUUCUGGAGGCCGAGGCAGGAAGAUCGUGAGUUCAAAGCCAGCCUCGGCAAUGGUGAGGCACUAAGCAACUUAGUGAAACCCUGUCUCUAAAUAAAAUAUAAAAUAGGGCUGGGGAUGUGGCUUAAUGGCUGAGUGCCCCUGAGGUCACUUCCUGGUACCCCCCCCCCAGCAAAAAAAUUGUACAGUGUACUCAUACUUCUUCAUAAGAAGAAGAGAGUGG